GUCACAAGAUAUUUACGUGCCAGAUGAGCUAAAAAUUCAUAUGUCCCUUCAUGCUUCAAUCUCCAUUCCAGUGGACAUGCGUCCAUACUGAUAAUGGGUUCUUCUGAACAACAGUACA
This is a non-coding RNA of Chelonoidis abingdonii (Abingdon island giant tortoise), 118 nucleotides long. The record is from RefSeq and is a predicted model, not a curated record. Lineage: Eukaryota; Metazoa; Chordata; Testudines; Testudinidae.